RNAcentral lists this ribosomal RNA (169 nucleotides) under Conocybe intrusa. Its description in RNAcentral is "5.8S ribosomal RNA". It matches the Rfam family "5.8S ribosomal RNA". Rfam says of the family: 5.8S ribosomal RNA (5.8S rRNA) is a component of the large subunit of the eukaryotic ribosome. It is transcribed by RNA polymerase I as part of the 45S precursor that also contains 18S and 28S rRNA. The record is from RNAcentral. Lineage: Eukaryota; Fungi; Basidiomycota; Agaricomycetes; Agaricales; Bolbitiaceae.
UACAACUUUCAGCAACGGAUCUCUUGGCUCUCGCAUCGAUGAAGAACGCAGCGAAAUGCGAUAAGUAAUGUGAAUUGCAGAAUUCAGUGAAUCAUCGAAUCUUUGAACGCACCUUGCGCUCCUUGGUAUUCCGAGGAGCAUGCCUGUUUGAGUGUCUAUUAAUUCUCAA